This 1242-nucleotide ribosomal RNA is filed under the name Vibrio parahaemolyticus. RNAcentral's name for it is "partial 23S ribosomal RNA". It matches the Rfam family "Bacterial large subunit ribosomal RNA", at positions 917 to 2143 of the family's 2925-position model. Lineage: Bacteria; Pseudomonadati; Pseudomonadota; Gammaproteobacteria; Vibrionales; Vibrionaceae. The record is from RNAcentral.
GGCUAGGGGGUCAUCCCGACUUACCAACCCUUUGCAAACUCCGAAUACCAGUAAGUACUAUCCGGGAGACACACGGCGGGUGCUAACGUCCGUCGUGGAGAGGGAAACAACCCAGACCGCCAGCUAAGGUCCCAAAUUACUACUAAGUGGGAAACGAUGUGGGAAGGCUCAGACAGCCAGGAUGUUGGCUUAGAAGCAGCCAUCAUUUAAAGAAAGCGUAAUAGCUCACUGGUCGAGUCGGCCUGCGCGGAAGAUGUAACGGGGCUAAGUAGUAAACCGAAGCUGCGGCAAUAUACUUUUGUAUAUUGGGUAGGGGAGCGUUCUGUAAGCGGUUGAAGGUGUGUGGUAACGCAUGCUGGACGUAUCAGAAGUGCGAAUGCUGACAUGAGUAACGAUAAAGGGGGUGAAAAACCUCCUCGCCGGAAGACCAAGGGUUCCUGUCCAACGUUAAUCGGGGCAGGGUAAGUCGACCCCUAAGGCGAGGCCGAAAGGCGUAGUCGAUGGGAAACGGGUUAAUAUUCCCGUACUUCUUACAAUUGCGAUGGGGGGACGGAGAAGGCUAGGUGGGCCUGGCGACGGUUGUCCAGGUUCAAGUGCGUAGGCUUAAGAGUUAGGUAAAUCCGGCUCUUUUUAAGGCUGAGACACGACGUCGAGCCACUACGGUGGUGAAGUCAUUGAUGCCAUGCUUCCAGGAAAAGCCUCUAAGCUUCAGAUUGUAAGGAAUCGUACCCCAAACCGACACAGGUGGUCGGGUAGAGAAUACCAAGGCGCUUGAGAGAACUCGGGUGAAGGAACUAGGCAAAAUGGUACCGUAACUUCGGGAGAAGGUACGCUCUCGACGGUGAAGUCCCUCGCGGAUGGAGCUAUUGAGAGUCGCAGAUACCAGGUGGCUGCAACUGUUUAUUAAAAACACAGCACUGUGCAAAAUCGUAAGAUGACGUAUACGGUGUGACGCCUGCCCGGUGCCGGAAGGUUAAUUGAUGGGGUUAGACUUCGGUCGAAGCUCUUGAUCGAAGCCCCGGUAAACGGCGGCCGUAACUAUAACGGUCCUAAGGUAGCGAAAUUCCUUGUCGGGUAAGUUCCGACCUGCACGAAUGGCGUAAUGAUGGCCACGCUGUCUCCACCCGAGACUCAGUGAAAUUGAAAUCGCUGUGAAGAUGCAGUGUACCCGCGGCUAGACGGAAAGACCCCGUGAACCUUUACUACAGCUUGGCACUGAACAUUGACCCUACAUGUGUAGGA